This 275-nucleotide ribosomal RNA is filed under the name uncultured prokaryote. RNAcentral describes it as "partial 16S ribosomal RNA". It matches the Rfam family "Bacterial small subunit ribosomal RNA", at positions 524 to 798 of the family's 1533-position model. The record is from RNAcentral.
UACGUAGGUGGCAAGCGUUAUCCGGAAUUAUUGGGCGUAAAGAGCGCGCAGGUGGUUGAUUAAGUCUGAUGUGAAAGCCCACGGCUUAACCGUGGAGGGUCAUUGGAAACUGGUCGACUUGAGUACAGGAGAGGAAAGCGGAAUUCCUAGUGUAGCGGUGAAAUGCGUAGAUAUUAGGAGGAACACCAGUGGCGAAGGCGGCUUUCUGGACUGUAACUGACACUGAGGUACGAAAGCGUGGGGAGCAAACAGGAUUAGAUACCCUGGUAGUCCCU